RNAcentral lists this ribosomal RNA (253 nucleotides) under uncultured bacterium. Its description in RNAcentral is "partial 16S ribosomal RNA". It matches the Rfam family "Bacterial small subunit ribosomal RNA", at positions 524 to 776 of the family's 1533-position model. The record is from RNAcentral.
UACGUAGGGGGCAAGCGUUGUCCGGAUUUACUGGGCGUAAAGAGCGUGUAGGCGGCCAAACAGGUCCGUUGUGAAAACUGGAGGCUCAACUUCCAGACGUCGACGGAAACCGUGUGGCUAGAGUCCGGAAGAGGAGAGUGGAAUUCCUGGUGUAGCGGUGAAAUGCGUAGAUAUCAGGAGGAACACCUGUGGCGAAAGCGGCUCACUGGACCAUUACUGACGCUGAUGCUCGAAAGCUAGGGGAGCAAACAGG